UGUAGAAAGAAGGAGCUCCCUUCAGUCCAAGCACGGAAAAAGAGGGAUGCAAAAUUAUCUCCCGCAUCAUUCAUACAAUCACAGUAGCUAAAACAGUACCAAUCCCUUUGUCUACUAGUGCUUGAAUGAAUGAGUCGGCAGAUACUUCAGCCCCUUUACCCCCAUCCAUGAGUGGGCUGAAGGAAGCUCUCUCACACCAUUUC
Molecule: non-coding RNA, 203 nt
Organism: Ricinus communis (castor bean)
Lineage: Eukaryota; Viridiplantae; Streptophyta; Magnoliopsida; Malpighiales; Euphorbiaceae
Source: Rfam